CCAAAAUACAAAAUACAUAGAAAAAAAAUGAGAUAUAUCCUUUAUCAACACCACUUGUAAAAAGAAAAAAAGAUUUAGCAAGGUACGUGCCACAGUAUUGUCAUCCCUGAAUGUAGUGACACACUAAGCCCUUAAAAUCUUUUUUCUUUUGUAACUCUAAAAUGGUUGAUUUACAAUCGGACUCCAAAAUACAACCCCAACCAUGAAAGGAAGAAGUAAUGUCUACGUUGAUUUUGAACAAUUGGCUAGGAGGCAGAGACCGUCGAGUUGGCCAUGGAUACACAAACAAAGAUUUAGACGCAACAUCAUAGGUGAUGUCAUUCUACUAUGUGAAAUUAAAGGUAUGAAAAUUUUAUACGGUCAUGAAAGUAGGUUCCCUCUAAUCCUUACCUUACUCUAUAUAUAUCCUUCAUCUUAAUUUUCAUGGAUCAUAAGGUAGACAUAUUCUAACCUAUCUCCUAUAUACAUAUGUGCCAUGAUUUUUGUAUAUAUAGUAUUCAAUAAAUCCAUCAUCUUGUUACUUCCUCCCCGAUCAUUGAAAUUGAUUGGAAAUAAACCCAUCUUGUUACUAUAUUCUGUGGUUGAAAAUGAUUUUGUAGGGUCUUGAUGGAACUGGAAUGAGGAUUGUGCAACCAGAAAGCAUCACCAUAAUAUCAUUGGUUUAUUUCCAACAAAGUACAUGCUAGUUCGUAGACAUUUAACAAUUAUAAACUUGAUGGGAGGCUGUGAAUAUCUUUGGCAUAUGGGAAAAGGAAAUUCAAUUAUGUAACAAAUUAUGGGAAUUAGGAAGAUGGGCCACAUAUGGGCUUAUUGCAAGGCCUUUACAUAAUUAGAUUUGUUUGGACAAUGUGUUGCAUUUAAAUAUGAAGGCAGGCCUCAAUGCGUCAUGCUGAACCUCAUUGUAUAAACUAUACAGAUGCCAUUAACACACGUUGUUAUGUGGCUAUAUACGUAUUUGCAUUUAUGUACAAAUUAAAACUUACAACUAUUUUCUUGCUGGCACAA
This is a non-coding RNA of Cicer arietinum (chickpea), 1005 nucleotides long. NCBI's taxonomy places the organism in Eukaryota, Viridiplantae, Streptophyta, Magnoliopsida, Fabales, Fabaceae. The record is from RefSeq and is a predicted model, not a curated record.